AUGAUUGUCAUCUUCAAUUUGAGGGACUCUCACCUAAAGUCCUUUAACUGUUCCAUAUCAGGAAAAAGUUCAUGAGCUGAAACAUGCGAUUGGAGAAAAAGGAAAAGCAUUAGGAAAAUGCCUGCACGGGGAAAAAAGUUUUGGACUCUGAAAAGGGAGGUGUGACAAAAACAUUUUGACAUUUGUUGAUUUCCACUAAAAACAAUAUCCACAAGAAAGAGGACAUAGUUUUAUGUUGAUUCACAACUUUAAUUCAAGAAUGUACAGUUGGUUUUAUUAUAAAACAUGUCAGUGACACAUACAAAACAACCAUAUUCGUGAAAUGUACUCUGUCUUUGAUAUGUAUGUAAUUUGCAGGAUAGGAUGUGGGCAACAUAUACUGCCAAGAAUCUUGAUGAUUUUGAUCUUAUGUUUGUAAAAAGAAAUGUUUUGUAUUGUAAUAAACAAAGUUAAAGUCA
Molecule: long non-coding RNA, 458 nt
Organism: Saccostrea cuccullata (small rock oyster)
Lineage: Eukaryota; Metazoa; Mollusca; Bivalvia; Ostreida; Ostreidae
Exons: 2
Source: RefSeq, a predicted model, not a curated record